CCAUUAACAAGCACCGCUCUAGAAUGUCUGACCUAGCCGUACAAACGUCACCAUGGUUACCAUCAGGGGCAGGCAAGUCUCACCUUCCAGGAGCUCCUCCUCCUCUUUAGAAAACCACCUGUUUUACUUUAUGGGCAAUAGGUUCUUAGGAAAAGUAGGCUAUUUGGGGUCUAGAAUUUCAAUGUCUGCUACCAAAUGCUUUCCUUCCCUCUGAAUUUCUAGAAGAGCACCUUACCUUAUGAACUGGCAGCACCCAAACAGUAAAUACACUCACCCAGAUCCCCACCAGUCAGCCCCCCUCCCAGGCUCCUUGCACGGAUCUGAGAGGAUGGAGGAAUUCUCCCCUAAGCAGGUGUGAAAAGUUCUGCCCUGGCCAGCAUUCUUCUAGGGGAUGAGCAAUCGGAGACCAGUAAGGUGGACACCUCGGCCAAGGGUGGAGAGCGGUGCAGGAGAGCUGUUCAGCUGGCGUCUGACCUCAGGGUCAAGACUGAUCGUCCCCUGUGCCUUGCACAGAACUUCUUUAAGCAAGGUGUCACCAUAGCAACUGGGCAAUCUUGAGCUGCACCUUUCCACAGGAAGUUCCCAGUGCAGGCUCCUGGGAAGUCAGAGGUGCUGAGCCAAGUCACUGUUCCCCACAGACCAGUAUGGGUAAGUAACUGAGUGGGGGACAAAAUACCUUCAUGACUGUAGCUGGAGUCACUGAAUGGAUGGGGUGCUUAUCACUGAGACCAGGAAAUAUGGAUGAUAUCAAGGUUCAAAUGAGUCCCCUCAAAUUCAUGUGUGGAAAACGUAACACCCAAGGCAACAUGGUCGGACUUCUUACGGCUGGAUGCAGAACUACAGAAACAGAGCCCACCAGCCUUUCUCAGGCCCAGAAAGGGACUGUCACUUCUACAACCAUCUGCUGGGUAAGUGGAGGCUCAGAGCCAACCCAGACUCACCGUGGCAGUAGACUCACCAGAGCAUGAAUGCUGGCAGGUUUGGCUCUUUGAGCACCAUCUUUGCACAGUGACAGCCACAACCAUCAGUGCUAGAGAGGCUGCAGGGUGGGAUGGGAGUAAGAGCCCUGGAGUCAGAUUAAUGUGGUCUGAAAUUUUAUCUCUGUCACUUCCUGGCUCUGCAACCUGCAGCAAGUUACUUUAAUCCCAUGCCUCAUUUUUUCCCAAAGGUAAAAUUGUGGGGGAGAACACUAUCUGAUGGAGUUGGUAUGCAGAUUAAAUGGGACAUGAAGCUACAGGACAGUUUUAGCCAAGUGCCUGGCAUCAUAAAGGCAAGCUGUACCUUUGUGCUACAGUGCUCUUGCAGCCACCCGCUCACCAGGCACCAGCUCCUGUGUGAGAAAACGUAGAAAGAAGCCUCAAGGAAGAAAGAAGUCUUUUAAGUUUAUCUGUUUCAAAGACACUUUAUGCAACUCAUACAGUGUUUUUCCAAAAUGCAGCUGCUGGUGACAUUUUCCACAAUUUACUGGCUCUCCAGGCUGUGAAAGAAAUUAAUGAAAUCAUUAAAAGUCCCUCAGUUCUCACUGAGAGGUGAGGACAUCCUUGUCAUUGUAAGUGGAGGGAAACCCUCUCCAGCCUGGAGCAGAGGAAUUGGCUCAGUGUAGCUUUCCCUCCUGGAGCUCCUCUUCUUCCCAGCUCUGUUGCAGAGACCAAGCAAGUGGGUCCUGGGAGGGUUAGGGCUUGGCCCAGAGUUCAGCUUGGCCCCUGGGAGCCCUUGCUUGGAGUGUGGAACUUUCCAGUCAUGUAGUGUUGACUCCACCUGCAUGUUGGUGAUCCCUAGAUUUAUUUCUCCAGCUCAGAUCUCUUUGGAACUUAAUACAAAUAGGUCCUUCUGUCCACUAUGUCAAGAGCCAUUUCCAACUUUGCAUGGUCCAAGUCAGGCCCCUCUAUGAUCAGCAGCUCCUGCCAUGGGUCCAGUGAUCCUGGACUUCUGAUAUCCAUGCCUUUGUGUAUAUCAGGCACAUAGACACAACUCCCUCCCCUGGAGUGUGCACUUGUGAGUUGCUGUGAGUGAAGAGACGGUGUUGGCAGAACAUGUGAUAGAGUUGCUUCUAUAAUUUGAUUACCAAGAAUUGUGACUUACACCUUGCUAGUAUUCUCUGGUCCUUCUGAAGACGGCCAUCUGACAAGGAACAGAGGGUGCCCUCCACCUACCAGAGGGCUCCUGCCUCACUUGGACCCUUGUAUUAGUCAGGGUUCUCUAGAGGAACAGAAUUCACAGGAAGCAGAAUUAUAAAAAGGGGACUUAUUAAGUUGGUUUACUCAACUGGAAGUUGGAUAGUCCACAGUGGCCAUCUGCUGGCUGGAGAGCCGGAAGAACCAGUAGCUGCAUAGUUCAAGAGGCUAAAGCUCCAGAAUAAGAGGGAUCAAUGUUGCUACCCUAGUGUGAGACCGAAGGCCUCUGGAAAAUCACUGUCAAGUCUGAUAUCCUCAGAUGAUUGUAGCAGCAAACAAGAACACGUUCAAGAAGAAUCGAGUUUGCAUCUGCUGCUGCUUCCUUGUUCUUCCAACUUUUAUUCCAUCCAAGCCAUAAUCCUAUUGGAUGGUGCUGCCCAGGCUUAGGGAGGAUCUCCAUUUCAGUUGGCUAUCCCACAUGCCAAUCAUUCCUAGACACACCCUCAUGACAUCCCCAUAAGCCCCUUAAUCCUUGGCAUCUCUUAAUCCAAUCAAGUUGACAAUUCAAAUUAACCAUCACAACCCUGCAAUGACCAUCGUCCUGGUCACUACUAUCAGUCCAGCCUGUGAGAGACCCAAGGCCUGCACCUUGAUUGCAGUCACACAAGAGAUUUUCAAGUAAACUGUGCCAAAUUCUUGACUCACAGACACCAUGAGAUAAGAAAUGUAGAUUGUUUUAAGUCGCUGA
Non-coding RNA from Ictidomys tridecemlineatus (thirteen-lined ground squirrel), 2862 nucleotides. The record is from RefSeq and is a predicted model, not a curated record. NCBI's taxonomy places the organism in Eukaryota, Metazoa, Chordata, Mammalia, Rodentia, Sciuridae.